GAUGAAGAACGCAGCGAAAUGCGAUACUUGGUGUGAAUUGCAGAAUCCCGUGAACCAUCGAGUCUUUGAACGCAAGUUGCGCCCGAAGCCAUUAGGCCGAGGGCACGCCUGCCUGGGCGUCACACGUCGUUGCCCCCCCAUCUACUCCUUCGGGAUUGCGGGGGGCGGAUGAUGGCCUCCCGUGCGCCUCGUCGCGCGGUUGGCAUAAAUGCCAAGUCCUCGGCGACGCACGCCACGACCAUCGGUGGUUGCGAAACCUCGGUUGCCCGUCGUGUGCGGUCGUCGCGCAUCGAGGGCUCGAAAAAAUUGCCGGGCUCCGGCUCGGCUUUCAACGCGACCCCAGGUCAGGCGGGGUUACCCGCUGAAUUUAAGCAUAUCAAUAAGCGGAGGA
RNAcentral lists this unclassified non-coding RNA (391 nucleotides) under soil metagenome. RNAcentral's name for it is "partial contains 5.8S ribosomal RNA, internal transcribed spacer 2, and large subunit ribosomal RNA". The stretch from base 1 to 122 matches the Rfam family "5.8S ribosomal RNA", at positions 35 to 154 of the family's 154-position model. The record is from RNAcentral.